GAUAGAGGUUGAUUGGGCGGAGGGAGAGGUUUGUCAGGUCGGAGGCUCCGAUAGACUCCCGUUAGAGGGUCGAACCCACUUUUCGGAUCGAACCGACUCGUUGGAUCGAUCCAACCGCUCUGAGUUGUCCCUGAUGACAUCGUUGUGCUUCUUUGAUUUGGGAAGAGAGACUGAGAAUGUGUUGCGAGAGUGAGUUUGCAGGAGAAGUCUAAGCGAAGACCAAGCGGACAGAGACCAGGCGGUGCCGGAUGAAGGAGAAGACGUAUUGCUCAAAACUUUUUCUGGUUCAUUCAAAUUUCUCGGGUCGAUUUUUUUAUUUUUUAUUUUUAUUUUUUUACUUUGUCUAAGCACUUAUAAGACGAUUUAAAAUAUAAUUUAUAGAAUAUAAAUUUUACUUUUAUAAUUAUCAACAAAAAUUUAAAAAUAAAGACUAUAUUUACGAAUCCUUUAAUUUAUUAAUAUUAUUAAAAUAUUUCUUGUUUUAUACGGUAUUAUUUUAACAAAAUAUUUACAAAAAUUAGUUUUAUUUGAUUUUAAUUAAUAUUUAUACUUUUAAUUUAAAAUGCAUUGUUUUUGAAAAAAAUAUAUAUAUUUUGAUCAUAUAUUAUAUAUUUUAAUAUUUAAAAGAUUUAGUUUAUAAGCAGAUCAAUAAAAUUGUAACAAUUUGAUGCUUAUUAAGAAAAUUGAUUAACAUCUACCAAGUGGUUGACGAAAUAAAUUAUUGAAAAAGAUGAAGUUGGACAAGUCGUAUUGAAUUUAUUUCAUUGUUCCUUUCAAUCUCCAAACAACACCCCCCCACCUAUUUUAUUAUAUGAAAUCCGGGAUAAAUAUGUAUAUAUUAUAUUAUAUUUAAAGCAACAUCUUAUAUAUUAAAAAGCAAAAAAGACAAAAUAAUAUUCACAAUUUAGAUGAAUUGGGAGAGACAGCACCAGCACGAGCAACCAGUUCCCUUCUCAGUGUUUUGCCCGCAGCAGAUUUUGGAAUUGAAUUGAUAAAACCAACUCGCCUUAUUUUUUUGUAUGGUGCAACCUGCAAAGCUUCCAUGAAAGUCAAGAUAGCAAAGAGUAAUCCUGAAUCAACUAUAUAUAUGUGAUACGGGGAAUGAGAAACAUGCCUGUUUGGCAACAAAGUCAAUAAGUUGACUCUGAGUGAGAUUGCUUCCAGGUUUUUUCACCACAAUCGCCAUGGGAAUCUGUCCAGCUUCCUCAUCAGGAUACCUGUAAUUCCCAAACACAGUUAGUACAGUUAGCCAUUAGUUUAGAUUAGUUUUAUUAAUUAAUCAUCAUCAGUGUAAGUAAUCAAAGCUUAGGUUCUGUAUAUAAAUACCCCACACUUCAAUUAAGGAUUUUCUCUCACUCUCUCGAACAUUUCAUCCACACAAGAAAUUCUUCACUGUUUUCUUCUCAAGUUCUAGAUGAUUUUAGAAUUUAACAAAGCAAGACGAACUGAAAAAGGGAAAUAUAUAUAUAUAUAUAUAUAUAUAGAUUUACUCACGGAAUUACAGCUGCAUCAACGAUUUCAGGAUGGGACUGAAGCAAAUUCUCCAACUCAGCUGGAGGAACCUGCAUAUACACACACACACACACAUAUAUAUAUAUAAGUUUAGAGAGAAAACAAUUUUUAAGCUUCAAUGAUGAGAGGUAGAGAGCAAAUCACCUGAUAUGCCUUAUAUUUGAUCAAUUCUUUUAACCUAUCAACAACGUAGAUGAACCCUUCAGAAUCAAAGGAACAAAUAUCCCCAGUUCUAAGCCAGCCUUCUGAAUCCAAAGUUUCUGCAGUUGCCUUAUCAUCUCCGACAUACCCUGUACUAAACCCAUCAAUAUCAUCUUCCUUAAUCACCCACUACCCAAACCCUUUUAUAUAUGCAUGUGCAUAUAUAUAUAUAUAUAUAAUGAGGCUACUACUUAUCAAUCACUAUACUUCCAGGGUCUGCAACAUAUAUAAGACAUAAACGAACUGAGAACAAAUUACCCUUCAUGAUAAUCUGGCCUCGCAACCAAAGCUCUCCCCUCUGUCCAGGAGGAAGGGCCCGGCCAGUGACAGGAUCAACAAUCUUGGCUUCUGUAUUUUCAGCUAGACGACCCACUGAUCCAUGUCUUCUUGUCUCAUCUGGUCUGAUUGUUCGGGAAGCAACCCCGGAAGACUCGGUCAAACCAUAUCCCUAUUAUAUAACAUCAUAAACAUCAGAAAUUAACCACUCAAAACCCCAAACUAAAUUCAUAAUGAUCACACUCUGUUUACCAUUACGAUCUCUGUAGUAGGGAACUUGUUCUUGAACCUCUCCGCAGCUUCCUUCCCUAAUGGUGCACCGCCGCAGCCCAGCAUUAUGAGCGAACUNNNNNNNNNNNNNNNNNNNNNNNNNNNNCAACACUAGCGUCUCUCCGGCCGCCGCUGCCUUCAAAAGCAUGAUAAACCCAAACACGUGAAACAGAGGAAGUGUGAAGAGAGAUACGGCGUGCGGCGAUGGUCCCGGAUCAGGGGUGAAUCGGAAAUGGUAAAACCCGGUGGAUACAGCUAUCAAAUUACGGUGUGUCAGCAACACGCCCUUCACCCGCCCGGUUGUGCCCGAAGAGUAGAGGAUCGCGGCGGGGUCCGACUGACUUACCUGGACGCGGUUGAUGAAUCCUAGGCUGUCUCCGCCAUGGCCGGAGGGCUGAGUCAACCAUGAAAUGAACUCGGGCGAGUCGAUGAUUACUAUUCCUUUUGGGAGGGAAGGGAGCUUGGCGGCAACUUGGGAGGUGGUAAAAGCAAUGACUGGUCUGCUGAGGCGGACCUGGUGAGAGACCUCUGAGUUGGAUCCAAGCGGGUUGGCGGGAGAGACGACGACGCCUAGAGACAAUAGAGAGAAGUAGAGAACGGGAACGUGGAGGGAAGGAGGUGCGAGUAUAAAAGCGACGUCGUUGCGGGAGAGAGAGUAGCGGGUUUGCAGAUACCGCGCUAAUGAGUUGGUCCGGUAAAGGAACUCGGUGUGGGAGAGGCCGUGGCCGGUAGAGGCAUCGACGAGGAAGGUGGUGGCGGUGCAGAUGGCGGAGGAGCGGAGCAGAGAGAAGGAGUAUUGGACGACGGAUAGAGGUUGUUUGGGUGGAGGGAGCGGGACGAAGGGUCUCAGGCUCCGGUAGGUACUGGUUAGCGGGUCGAACCCACUGUUCGGGUCGAUCGGGCGGCUGUGAUUGUUGGGCGAUGACAUAACACUGAUUCGUUUCGAGAGAGAGGGAGAAACGAGGGUAUGCUGUUGUUGCAGCAGGGAGUUUGCAGGAGAGAGCGAUAGAAGCAGAGAAGUAUGCAAAUUUACUGGAAAAAGAAACUAAAAAUUUCUGCCAACUUAUUAUACGGAGAAUGGUCCUAUUUUAAUAAUAUAUAUAUAUAUAUAUUAUUAAACUGGCAAUGCAUUG
Molecule: long non-coding RNA, 3392 nt
Filed under: Carica papaya (papaya)
Lineage: Eukaryota; Viridiplantae; Streptophyta; Magnoliopsida; Brassicales; Caricaceae
Description: long non-coding RNA (CPAP_LNC011702)
Source: RNAcentral